This 560-nucleotide ribosomal RNA is filed under the name uncultured bacterium. RNAcentral describes it as "bacterial SSU rRNA". It matches the Rfam family "Bacterial small subunit ribosomal RNA", at positions 338 to 916 of the family's 1533-position model. The record is from RNAcentral.
CCUACGGGAGGCAGCAGUGGGGAAUCUUAGACAAUGGGGGCAACCCUGAUCUAGCCAUGCCGCGUGAGUGAUGAAGGCCUUAGGGUCGUAAAGCUCUUUCGCCUGUGAUGAUAAUGACAGUAGCAGGUAAAGAAACCCCGGCUAACUCCGUGCCAGCAGCCGCGGUAAUACGGAGGGGGUUAGCGUUGUUCGGAAUUACUGGGCGUAAAGCGCGCGUAGGCGGAUUAGAAAGUUGGGGGUGAAAUCCCGGGGCUCAACCCCGGAACUGCCUCCAAAACUGCUAGUCUAGAGUUCGAGAGAGGUGAGUGGAACUCCGAGUGUAGAGGUGAAAUUCGUAGAUAUUCGGAGGAACACCAGUGGCGAAGGCGGCUCACUGGCUCGAUACUGACGCUGAGGUGCGAAAGUGUGGGGAGCAAACAGGAUUAGAUACCCUGGUAGUCCACACCGUAAACGAUGAAUGCCAGUCGUCGGAUAGUAUACUAUUCGGUGACACACCUAACGGAUUAAGCAUUCCGCCUGGGGAGUACGGUCGCAAGAUUAAAACUCAAAUGAAUUGACGG